GGUUGCUAAGCGGAAGAUGUUGGAGGCUACUAGGGCUCUCUCUCCUGUUCCCUCUCGUUUUCCAGAGUACCAAGUCAUUAAAAUACCCAGGGUUGUUUCCAAGAGUCCCUUGGAGGUAUGCCAGUGAAUGAUAAGUGAGCCUGGUCUUCAGGGAAAGCCAGCCAAAGAAGAAGAAAAAAAGGGACACAUUUGGAAGGUCGGUGUUGACUCUUCGCGCAACCACAUAGAUAGAUUCUCUCCAGGAUGACCUGUCUUCAACUUGGCCUUGAAGGUCUCUCAGUGGUGCCUUCAUUGCUGUCGUGAUUGAAUCCAUCCACCUUGCUGCUGGUCAUCCUCGUCUUCUCUUGCCUUCAACUUUCCCCAGCAUUAUGGACUUCUCCAGGGAGCUCGGUCUUCACAUCAUGUGUCCGAAGUAUGAUAGUUUGAGCCUGGUCAUUUGUGCCUCGAGUGAAAAUUCUGGAUUUGUUCUAUGAUAGAGAAGUGCAAAAAAUGAUUUGGUGCGUUCAGUAGGGAUGCACUGAAUGGCUUUGGCACGGCCCGCUAAAUCGUUUUGGUGGGGUGGGGAGCAGGACCUUUAAGGACGAGUAAAGCAGGUCCUUAAAACCUGCUUCUCUGCUACCCCACAAUUUUUCCUGCUGCCGGGACACACAUGGUCGCCAAGCAUGCCGGCUCAGCACAGGCUUCUGGGUCAGCGCAGCAGCUGUGCACAGACUUCUGAAUGUUGCAGGGCUGCAGCAGGAACAGUGGUGGGUGGUGUGUGGUGUGUGGUGGAGGGACAGGCUUUAAAGACCUGCUUUACUCAUCCUUAAAAGUCUCGCCCCUGCCCAAACGCUUUGUGCACAUCUCUACCAGCAGCAAAGAAAGCAACAUCUUGAAAGAAGAUUGUGGUAGCACUAUUCGCUUGUGAAAAGUCGAAAUGGUUCCGCUGCAGCUCAGAGCAAAUGUUGAACAUCUAUAUCACAUUACAUAAUAGCUUUAAUUAAAUCCAAAUAUUAUAUUCAAAUAGUAUGAGUGGAUUACCUAUAACUAGGCCGUGGAAGUUAUAAAUAUCAGCGGCGUUUAUUCAUAAUCACUCACAAAGAAUUCAUAUGGCAAUACAAUCAUCCUUGUGUCUGAAUCAUCUUCUGUAAUAUGAUAAGAUAAACUGUUGCUCUCU
Long non-coding RNA from Hemicordylus capensis (graceful crag lizard), 1156 nucleotides. RefSeq lists it as uncharacterized. The transcript is spliced from 3 exons. Lineage: Eukaryota; Metazoa; Chordata; Lepidosauria; Squamata; Cordylidae. The record is from RefSeq and is a predicted model, not a curated record.